GCCCCUGUAGCUCAGUUGGUAGAGCACGUCCUUGGUAAGGACGAGGUCACCGGUUCGAUUCCGAUCGGGGGCU
RNAcentral lists this transfer RNA (73 nucleotides) under Candidatus Omnitrophota bacterium. RNAcentral's name for it is "tRNA-Thr". It matches the Rfam family "tRNA". Rfam says of the family: Transfer RNA (tRNA) molecules are approximately 80 nucleotides in length. Their secondary structure includes four short double-helical elements and three loops (D, anti-codon, and T loops). The record is from RNAcentral. Lineage: Bacteria; Pseudomonadati; Candidatus Omnitrophota.